Molecule: ribosomal RNA, 498 nt
Filed under: Pichia kudriavzevii
Lineage: Eukaryota; Fungi; Ascomycota; Pichiomycetes; Pichiales; Pichiaceae
Description: eukaryotic LSU rRNA
Rfam family: 5.8S ribosomal RNA (bases 129-281)
Source: RNAcentral
CUAUAGCGAACUGAGGAGGACAUUACUGUGAUUUAGUACUACACUGCGUGAGCGGAACGAAAACAAAAACACCUAAAAUGUGGAAUAUAGCAUAUAGUCGACAAGAGAAAUCUACGAAAAACAAACAAAACUUUCAACAACGGAUCUCUUGGUUCUCGCAUCGAUGAAGAGCGCAGCGAAAUGCGAUACCUAGUGUGAAUUGCAGCCAUCGUGAAUCAUCGAGUUCUUGAACGCACAUUGCGCCCCUCGGCAUUCCGGGGGGCAUGCCUGUUUGAGCGUCGUUUCCAUCUUGCGCGUGCGCAGAGUUGGGGGAGCGGAGCGGACGACGUGUAAAGAGCGUCGGAGCUGCGACUCGCCUGAAAGGGAGCGAAGCUGGCCGAGCGAACUAGACUUUUUUUCAGGGACGCUUGGCGGCCGAGAGCGAGUGUUGCGAGACAACAAAAAGCUCGACCUCAAAUCAGGUAGGAAUACCCGCUGAACUUAAGCAUAUCAAAAGGC